RNAcentral lists this ribosomal RNA (529 nucleotides) under Saccharomyces cerevisiae (brewer's yeast). RNAcentral's name for it is "partial large subunit ribosomal RNA". It matches the Rfam family "Eukaryotic large subunit ribosomal RNA", at positions 98 to 641 of the family's 3401-position model. The record is from RNAcentral. Lineage: Eukaryota; Fungi; Ascomycota; Saccharomycetes; Saccharomycetales; Saccharomycetaceae.
GCGGCAAAAGCUCAAAUUUGAAAUCUGGUACCUUCGGUGCCCGAGUUGUAAUUUGGAGAGGGCAACUUUGGGGCCGUUCCUUGUCUAUGUUCCUUGGAACAGGACGUCAUAGAGGGUGAGAAUCCCGUGUGGCGAGGAGUGCGGUUCUUUGUAAAGUGCCUUCGAAGAGUCGAGUUGUUUGGGAAUGCAGCUCUAAGUGGGUGGUAAAUUCCAUCUAAAGCUAAAUAUUGGCGAGAGACCGAUAGCGAACAAGUACAGUGAUGGAAAGAUGAAAAGAACUUUGAAAAGAGAGUGAAAAAGUACGUGAAAUUGUUGAAAGGGAAGGGCAUUUGAUCAGACAUGGUGUUUUGUGCCCUCUGCUCCUUGUGGGUAGGGGAAUCUCGCAUUUCACUGGGCCAGCAUCAGUUUUGGUGGCAGGAUAAAUCCAUAGGAAUGUAGCUUGCCUCGGUAAGUAUUAUAGCCUGUGGGAAUACUGCCAGCUGGGACUGAGGACUGCGACGUAAGUCAAGGAUGCUGGCAUAAUGGUUAU